UACAAGUUUGGAAGCACUGAGCAGGCAGGU
This 30-nucleotide non-coding RNA is filed under the name Mus musculus (house mouse). Lineage: Eukaryota; Metazoa; Chordata; Mammalia; Rodentia; Muridae. The record is from RNAcentral.